GUGCCUUCUUCAGCAGGUCUUGGGCAUGACGAAGGAGGAGCUGAUUUCGUCUUCGGCCCAAGUUCCGAAGGGCUAGAAUGGCAGCCACGUGUUCCUGUCUGCAGAGAGACACAGUCCCAGUGAACAGGAGUCUCACCCAGAAUGUCUGAGAUGCAGGGGAUCGCCAAGCCCAGCCAAGUGGCUUCUGAGCCCUGGGAAGACAAGGAACCAGACGUGGGGCCAGAGCCACAAUCCAGAUUUUUCUAAAGGCUUUUUGAUGAGAAGGUUGAACUUCCUGAUGCUACUGACAAUGUCAAGACCAAGCUACAAAAUUUGAAUUUUGUUCAUAAGCAAUCAGAAAAUGGACAGCCCUUAUUAGUUCUCCAAUGAUUCAGAAAGAGUCCACCUACUGAGACUUCAGGUAGGGGUGAAGAAGGGGAAGACUCCUUUACACCACUCCCCAAAGAACAAGUGUCAGAAAAAGAAGGUUCAAGAGCUAUAACGAAGUUGAUGAGCAUUAUAAGACUGAUUGUCCUUCUGAUAAAUGGGCUGGAGGCUUUGUGGUUGGCUGUUUAUUGGGGCAAAUGAUCUUUGACUUUCUGCUUUAACAAGCCCAAGGUCAGGUAUAUGUAUGUGUGUUAAUUUUUUUAAAAAUCAAAGAAAAAACAAGGUCAUUGAGGGAACUCUCUUUGUGUCUCCAGCACCAAGCCCAAGCAAGGCCUUAUUCAUGGUAGGUGAUUAAAACACAGUGAAUGCCCUGUCCCAGUCUCUGACUAUUCCAUGGGGGCAAUUGUUGUCUCUCUACGAAGAUUGAGACCUCCCUGAGGGCAGGGAUUCUGGUGAUGAUGGUCAUUGCACAGUUUGUCCCUCAUGAAUGGAUUAGACUUCCUCCUCACCUUGACCCCUCAACACCCUUGGUUCUUUUUAGCUUCAGCUCAUGGGCCACCUCCUCUAGGAAGCCUUUUCUGAUUGCUCCUAAUUAUUGGAGUACUCUCCUGUCUCAACUUAGACAUGAAUAGAUAGGUAUAGAUAUAUGCCCAGAAUGGUAUCCCUUAUUCAAGGAUGGAGCAGAUGGGGGGUGGGGGGGGAAUAUGAAUUUAUAUUGAGCUUAGAAUAUUCCCAUUGUGGCAUAUAUAUAUACACACACAUAUAUAUACACACAUAUAUUAGAUAUUUGAUAUAUAGGCACAUGUUAUAUAUAAUGUAUAUUAUAUUUGAACAUGCAUGUACAUACAUAAUAUAAAACAAUGCUAUAAAUUUAUAUAUUGCACAUGUUCAUCCUUCACU
Long non-coding RNA from Monodelphis domestica (gray short-tailed opossum), 1266 nucleotides. RefSeq lists it as uncharacterized. The record is from RefSeq and is a predicted model, not a curated record. NCBI's taxonomy places the organism in Eukaryota, Metazoa, Chordata, Mammalia, Didelphimorphia, Didelphidae.